RNAcentral lists this ribosomal RNA (789 nucleotides) under uncultured bacterium. RNAcentral describes it as "bacterial SSU rRNA". It matches the Rfam family "Bacterial small subunit ribosomal RNA", at positions 8 to 796 of the family's 1533-position model. The record is from RNAcentral.
AGAGUUUGAUCCUGGCUCAGAUUGAACGCUGGCGGAAUGCUUUACACAUGCAAGUCGAGCGGCAGCGCGGGGCAACCUGGCGGCGAGCGGCGGACGGGUGAGUAACAUAUCGGAACGUAUCCUGUAGUGGGGGAUAGCCCGGCGAAAGCCGGAUUAAUACCGCAUACGAUCUACGGAUGAAAGCGGGGGACCUUCGGGCCUCGCGCUAUAGGAGCGGCCGAUAUCUGAUUAGCUAGUUGGUGGGGUAAAAGCUCACCAAGGCGAUGAUCAGUAGCUGGUCUGAGAGGAUGAUCAGCCACACUGGGACUGAGACACGGCCCAGACUCCUACGGGAGGCAGCAGUGGGGAAUUUUGGACAAUGGGGGAAACCCUGAUCCAGCCAUUCCGCGUGAGUGAAGAAGGCCUUCGGGUUGUAAAGCUCUUUCGGCAGGAACGAAACGGGUUACGUGAAUAUCGUAGCCUACUGACGGUACCUGAAGAAGAAGCACCGGCUAACUACGUGCCAGCAGCCGCGGUAAUACGUAGGGUGCGAGCGUUAAUCGGAAUUACUGGGCGUAAAGCGUGCGCAGGCGGUUUGUUAAGACAGAUGUGAAAUCCCCGGGCUUAACCUGGGAAUGGCGUUUGUAACUGGCAAGCUAGAGUGUGUCAGAGGGAGGUAGAAUUCCACGUAGCAGUGAAAUGCGUAGAGAUGUGGAGGAAUACCGAUGGCGAAGGCAGCCUCCUGGGAUAACACUGACGCUCAUGCACGAAAGCGUGGGGAGCAAACAGGAUUAGAUACCCUAGUAGUCC